Molecule: microRNA, 21 nt
Filed under: Echinops telfairi (small Madagascar hedgehog)
Lineage: Eukaryota; Metazoa; Chordata; Mammalia; Afrosoricida; Tenrecidae
Description: Ete-Mir-150_3p* (star (passenger))
Source: RNAcentral
CUGGUACAGGUGUGGGGGCCA